RNAcentral lists this ribosomal RNA (433 nucleotides) under uncultured bacterium. RNAcentral describes it as "partial 16S ribosomal RNA". It matches the Rfam family "Bacterial small subunit ribosomal RNA", at positions 28 to 507 of the family's 1533-position model. The record is from RNAcentral.
GACGAACGCUGGCGGCGGGCCUAACACAUGCAAGUCGAGCGGACCUGUCGGGGUCAUCGGCGGACGGGGGAGUAGCGCGUGGGGAUAGGGCCAUCUCUACGGAAUAGUCCUGGGAAACUGGGGGUAAUACAGGAUACGCUCGCUGGGGGGAAGCUUUAUCGGGGAAGGGUAAGCCGGGGUUGGAUAAGGUAGUGGGUGGGGUGAGGGCCGGCCAGGGGGCCGAUCCAUGGCUGGUUUGAGAGGAUGAUCAGCCAGGCUGGGACUGAGACACGGCCGAGACUCCUACGGGAGGCAGCAGUGGGGACUCUUAGACAAUGGGGGCAACCCUGAUCGAGCCAUGCCGCGUGAAUGACGAAGGCCUUAGGGUUGUAAAGCUCUUUCUGCUGUGAAGAUAAUGACGGUACCUGCAGAAGAAGCCCCGGCUAACUCCGUG